AUUGAACGCUGGCGGUAGGCCUAACACAUGCAAGUCGAACGAGUGGCGGACGGGUGAGUAAUGGCCGGGAAAAUGCCCGAGGGAGGGGGAUACCUACGGGAAACGGUAGCUAAUACCGCAUAACAACGGAUGUCCCGAGAUGGGAUUAGCUAGGAGGUGGGGUAACGGCUCACCUCGGCGACGACCCCUAGCUGGUGUGAGAGGAUGACCAGCCACACUGGAACUGAGACACGGUCCAGACUCCUACGGUAGGCAGCAGUGGGGAAUAUUGGCCACUGGGCGCAAUCCGUAUGCAGCCAUGCCGCGUGUAUGAAGAAGGCCUUCGGGUUGUAAAGUACUUUCGGCGGGGAGGCGUUACCCGCAGAAGAAGCACCGGCUAACUCCGUGCCAGCAGCCGCGGUAAUAC
This 406-nucleotide ribosomal RNA is filed under the name uncultured bacterium. RNAcentral's name for it is "partial 16S ribosomal RNA". It matches the Rfam family "Bacterial small subunit ribosomal RNA", at positions 29 to 526 of the family's 1533-position model. The record is from RNAcentral.